This 860-nucleotide long non-coding RNA is filed under the name Phascolarctos cinereus (koala). RNAcentral's name for it is "lncRNA (ENSPCIG00000035858.1)". The record is from RNAcentral. Lineage: Eukaryota; Metazoa; Chordata; Mammalia; Diprotodontia; Phascolarctidae.
CAGAGGAGGGUGACCAGAAUAUUAAAGUGUCUAGAAAGCAUCAUCAACUGGGAAUGCUUAGCCUGGGGAAGAGAAAGUAUAUAUGAUAACUGUCUUCAAAUAUUUAAUGAGUCACCAAGUAGAAGGGAGAUUAUGUGAACCCAAAGAUGGCCUGUGCCACUAACAUUUGAAAACACUAUCAGUGUGUUUGGAAGUCAGAAGUAAUGGAAGUGUGGUACCACUGGGAUUCAAACCCACCAGUGGUAUAGCAGACUGUGUUCAUGUUCCAUGUGUGAUACCAUCUAUGUUCCAUGUGUGAUACCAUGUGUGAUCAGUGAAGUUCCUCAAUCAACAGGACCAUUUCAGGCCUGGGCUUCAAGGUGCACAGGCUUUACAAUUUGAAGGGGUUCUAAGUCAUCUAGAUCCUGAAACUCACUACAACAAAGACAAAGACUGGCAUUAGUCAUGAAGAACUUCCUGGAAGAGGUAUAUUUCACACGACAAUUUAAAAGAAGUUAAACAAUAUGAGAUGAUGGUGGAAGGGAAUCAUUGGGAGACAUGGAAGGCCCCAAAAUAAUGGUUGCCAUGUUGCUGCUGGAAGUGUUGUCCCCUACUGUCUCUGAAGGGACUGGUGAGACAAAAGAGCUCUGGAUCAACUCUCUGUUCAAAGGCAGCAACCUGCUCUUGUUUUUUCAAUCUUUUUUUUUCAAUUGCAUGUAAGAACAAUUUUUAACAUUCAUUUUUUUAAAAAUUGACUUCCAAAUUCUUUUCCCCCUUCCCUCCUCUGACCCCACUUUGAGAAUUUGAUACAUAUAGUCAUGCAAAAUAUAUUUCAAUAUUAGUUUUGUUAUGAAAGAAAAUAAAGACCCCCCCACUCCCCA